AGAGUUUGAUCCUGGCUCAGGACGAACGCUGGCGGCGUGCCUAAUACAUGCAAGUCGAGCGAGCUUGCCUAGAUGAUUUUAGUGCUUGCACUAAAUGAAACUAGAUACAAGCGAGCGGCGGACGGGUGAGUAACACGUGGGUAACCUGCCCAAGAGACUGGGAUAACACCUGGAAACAGAUGCUAAUACCGGAUAACAACACUAGACGCAUGUCUAGAGUUUGAAAGAUGGUUCUGCUAUCACUCUUGGAUGGACCUGCGGUGCAUUAGCUAGUUGGUAAGGUAACGGCUUACCAAGGCAAUGAUGCAUAGCCGAGUUGAGAGACUGAUCGGCCACAUUGGGACUGAGACACGGUCCAAACUCUUACGGGAGGCAGCAGUAGGGAAUCUUCCACAAUGGACGAAAGUCUGAUGGAGUAACGCCGCGUGAGUGAAGAAGGGUUUUCGGCUCGUAAAGCUCUGUUGGUAGUGAAGAAAGAUAGAGGUAGUAACUUGGCCUUUAUUUGACGGUAAUUACUUAGAAAGUCACGGCUAACUACGUGCCAGCAGCCGCGGUAAUAUGUAGGUGGCAAGCGUUGUCUGGAUUUAUUGGGCGUAAAGCGAGUGCAGGCUGCUCAAUACGUCUGAUGUGAAAGCCUUCGGCUCACCCGGACAAUCGCAUCAGAAACUGUUGAACUUGAGUGCAGAAGAGGAGAGUGGAACUCCAUGUGUAGCGGUGGAAUGCGUAGAUAUAUGGAAGAACACCAGUGGCGAAGGCGGCUGUCUGGUCUGCAACUGACGCUGAGGCUCGAAAGCAUGGGUAGCGAACAGGAUUAGAUACCCUGGUAGUCCAUGCCGUAAACGAUGA
Molecule: ribosomal RNA, 846 nt
Filed under: uncultured bacterium
Lineage: Bacteria
Description: bacterial SSU rRNA
Rfam family: Bacterial small subunit ribosomal RNA
Source: RNAcentral